This 855-nucleotide ribosomal RNA is filed under the name uncultured fungus. Its description in RNAcentral is "LSU rRNA". It matches the Rfam family "Eukaryotic large subunit ribosomal RNA", at positions 77 to 966 of the family's 3401-position model. Lineage: Eukaryota; Fungi. The record is from RNAcentral.
GCCCCAGUAACGGCGAGUGAAGCGGCAACAGCUCAAAUUUGAAAUCUGGCUUCGGCCCGAGUUGUAAUUUGUAGAGGAUGCUUUUGGUGAGGUGCCUUCUGAGUUCCCUGGAACGGGACGCCAGAGAGGGUGAGAGCCCCGUAUAGUUGGACACCGAGCCUCUGUAAAGCUCCUUCGACGAGUCGAGUAGUUUGGGAAUGCUGCUCAAAAUGGGAGGUAUAUCUCUUCUAAAGCUAAAUACUGGCCAGAGACCGAUAGCGCACAAGUAGAGUGAUCGAAAGAUGAAAAGCACUUUGAAAAGAGGGUUAAAUAGUACGUGAAAUUGUUGAAAGGGAAGCGCUUGUGACCAGACUUGUGCCCGGCUGAUCAUCCAGUGUUCUCACUGGUGCACUCUGCCGGGCUCAGGCCAGCGUCGGUUCUCGCAGGGGGACAAAAGCUUCGGGAACGUAGCUCCUCCGGGAGUGUUAUAGCCCGUUGCUCAAUACCCCUGCGGGGACCGAGGUUCGCGCUCUGCAAGGACGCUGGCAUAAUGGUCAUCAGCGGCCCGUCUUGAAACACGGACCAAGGAGUCGAGGUUUUGCGCGAGUGUUUGGGUGUAAAACCCGCACGCGUAAUGAAAGUGAACGUAGGUGAGAGCUUCGGCGCAUCAUCGACCGAUCCUGAUGUAUUCGGAUGGAUUUGAGUAAGAGCGUAUAGCCUCGGACCCGAAAGAUGGUGAACUAUGCCUGAAUAGGGUGAAGCCAGAGGAAACUCUGGUGGAGGCUCGCAGCGGUUCUGACGUGCAAAUCGAUCGUCAAAUUUGGGCAUGGGGGCGAAAGACUAAUCGAACCAUCUAGUAGCUGGUUACCGCCGAGC